Molecule: long non-coding RNA, 229 nt
Filed under: Helianthus annuus (common sunflower)
Lineage: Eukaryota; Viridiplantae; Streptophyta; Magnoliopsida; Asterales; Asteraceae
Description: sRNA HanXRQr2_Chr04g0167491
Source: RNAcentral
UCCAAACAGGCUCUCAAAAUAACCGAGAGAACGUUAAAAACCUUACAAGGGCAAAAGUUUGUUCGGUCAACAAAUCACUUACCAAAAAGUUCGUUACAAGGUGUAUAACGUUUGAAAAACGAAACAAAAACUUACUCUGGUUCGACUUUGAGGACUAUCUUCAUGAGUUCAUAAACAAAGUAACUUAUUGCAGCAGAUGCGCGGACUUGCAUUUGAAGUUGUCUUCUAA